This is a long non-coding RNA of Oncorhynchus tshawytscha (Chinook salmon), 541 nucleotides long. The record is from Ensembl. Lineage: Eukaryota; Metazoa; Chordata; Actinopteri; Salmoniformes; Salmonidae.
CUCAUUAUGACAUCAUUAGAACACACUGAAGACAGGUUUAUAAUGACACAUCUCUCAUUAUGACAUCAUUAGAACACACUGAAGACAGGUUUAUAAUGACACAUCUCUCAUUAUGACAACAUUAGAACAGACUGAAGACAGGUUUAUAAGGACACAUCUCUCAUUAUGACAACAUUAGAACAGACUGAAGACAGGUUUAUAAUGACACAUCUCUCAUUAUGACAUCAUUAGAACACACUGAAGACAGGUUUAUAAUGACACAUCUCUCAUUAUGACAACAUUAGAACAGACUGAAGACAGGUUUAUAAGGACACAUCUCUCAUUAUGACAUCAUUAGAACACACUGAAGACAGGUUUAUAAGGACACAUCUCCCAUUAUGACAGACUGAAGACAGGUUUAUAAUGACACAUCUCUCAUUAUGACAACAUUAAAACAGACUGAAGACAGGUUUAUAAUGACACAUCUCCCAUUAUGACAACAUUAGAACAGACUGAAGACAGGUUUAUAAUGACACAUCUCUCAUUAUGACAUCAUUAGAAC